CGGGUCAGACAGACGGUCGCCCCACACGAACAGAUGCCCACCCUUGGUGAAGGCGGAUGUCAUGGGGGAGGAAAGUCCGAACACCGAUUCCUUCAGCAAUGAAAGAAUGAUGGAGAGCCGCUAACGGCGGCCAGGAUAUAGCGAGAUUGAACGAAAGGACACGUGCCGGCCGUUUCCUCGUAAACCUAGGGAAAGUGCCACAGAGACAAUUCUAAUCCAAGAGGGAUGCCCUUCUUGGACAAAAGGUGAAACGUGAUGUGAUGUGGCUCCGUAACCCAACGGGUAACGUGGCUGCUACACCUCUCUGGCGUUGGUAACAGCGUCAGUGGUAAACCCUCUCCGGUGCAAGAGCAAGAGUCUGUUUCUCAACUUCGAACAGAAGUGGGGGAAGAGACGACUGGUAGCUCGCAACGAGGUUCGUGGUAACACGAGCCCCAGAUAGAUGACCGUCAUCCCCCUGCGCCCCACGGGCUACGGGAGAGACAAAAUUCGGCUUAUCGUCUGAUCCGAACA
RNAcentral lists this RNase P RNA (513 nucleotides) under Candidatus Uhrbacteria bacterium. RNAcentral's name for it is "RNase P RNA component class A". It matches the Rfam family "Bacterial RNase P class A". Rfam says of the family: Ribonuclease P (RNase P) is a ubiquitous endoribonuclease, found in archaea, bacteria and eukarya as well as chloroplasts and mitochondria. Its best characterised activity is the generation of mature 5'-ends of tRNAs by cleaving the 5'-leader elements of precursor-tRNAs. Cellular RNase Ps are ribonucleoproteins. Lineage: Bacteria; Candidatus Uhriibacteriota. The record is from RNAcentral.